CACGUAGGGAACUUGCCCAUAAGUCGAGGAAAACUGUUGGAAACGACAGCUAAUACUGGAUAGUAUAAUGAAACGCAUGUUUUAUUAUUUAAAGGCGCGUUUGCGUCGCUUAUGGAUAGUCCUGCGGUACAUUAGCUAGUUGGUAGGGUAAUGGCCUACCAAGGCUACGAUGUAUAACCGGCCUGAGAGGGUGAACGGUCACACUGGAACUGAGACACGGUCCAGACUUCUACGGAAGGCAGCAGUAGGGAAUCUUCCACAAUGGGCGAAAGCCUGAUGGAGCAAUACCGCGUGAGUGAUGAAGGUUUUCGGAUCGUAAAGCUCUGUUGUAAGAAAGAAAUGUUUUAGGAGGAAAUGCCUUUAAUUUGACGGUAUCUUACCAGAAAGUCACGGGCUAACUAUGUG
This 405-nucleotide ribosomal RNA is filed under the name uncultured Bacilli bacterium. RNAcentral describes it as "bacterial SSU rRNA". It matches the Rfam family "Bacterial small subunit ribosomal RNA", at positions 114 to 507 of the family's 1533-position model. The record is from RNAcentral. Lineage: Bacteria; Bacillati; Bacillota; Bacilli.